UCCGGCUUUGUUCGUGCUGGCCUGGACAUAGCACUGCGCCUUUCCAUCUGUGACUGCUCCCGCUCACUCCUGCAGCCCUGCUGAGCACUUCCGCUUCUCUUGUGCAUCCUCUUGACAGAAAGGGCUUUCCCUGGGUGUGUUUUGCUACGUUUUGACAAAGGACAGAUAAAAUAUAAUACCACAAACAGGAAAUACUGGGCAUGUAAAAGUAAUGCAUCUUGGUAAUACCACCAUUAGCGUUUUCACUUGCAGCAUUGCAGAAGCAGAGGCUGAAAUACCUCAGCUGGCAUUGGCACUUCUGCCCUGGCUUUGCUGCAGCUUUACCAGACAGGUUCCCAUGGAUGAUGCUGAAUGUAAAAAGACGGAUGAAGAGCUGUCUCAUGAACCCAGUUAUUCUGACAGAGGGAUGUGUUGUAAGAUUCUGUACAAUGAUUUUUCAGGUAAUUUCCCUAAUCUUUUUCUACAGUUAAUCACAUGAGAACUCUCUUCGACACAUUUAGAAUAAGAGGAAACCUGCAUAAUUAAGAUUGUGAAGUCAAAAGCUAAGAAAAAGACAGAAUUUAUGUUGCUGUCACAAAUUAAAUUCUGUUCGGUUGAAGUGGACAAUUUUUUUUUUUUUUAAUUUUUUAUUUUUCCCCCACUUUUGGCAUGUCUUUCAUCCAUGAAAGACUCAGCUUUGUGGAGGCUGGAAGGCUUGAGAACUCACCCAAGCUGAAUAAUUCUAUGUCUGAGGCAACAUCAGAAAGAAAAAAUCAACACAUUUCAUUAAGCAUUUGGAAAUGGAAAUGCUUGUUGGAGCAGGUGGGGUUCAAAGUAGGCACUGCUUCCUAAAUCAGGUGAAGAAAUGAUGGUUUUCUCUUCCGGUGUUCUAGUGUGUAGAAAAGCCAUGGUCCAAAAUGCUGUUAGGGUCCAGGAAUGAGGAACUGGCCAUACCAGGAGUCUAAGGAAGCCACAGUGUGAGGUGACUUUCUGGUGGUUUUAUAGUUCCCAUCAGGAAAACAGAAGCUCCUCUCCCACUUGGAGAAUUGUGUAGAAGUCUCCUUGUGAAGGUAGACCUGAAUUUGUACUGAUUCACCUUUCAGCAAGGAAAAUGCCUGGAAACAAAUAAUAUAACCUCUGAUUUAGGAAAAAUAUUUCAAAUAAUCUAAACCUUUUUAAACUCUUCUUGUUAAACACCCCAUUCUUUCCUAAUUAAUAUUUUAAUAUUCAAGAAUGUAUUCAAACUGAAGCUUUCAGGACCUGUGCUGUUGGUGUUUUGAUUUUCGUUUUGUUUUGUUUUUGUUUUUGUUUUUGGUUUUUUGUUUGUAGAAUCUUUUCCUCAUUGCUAGGAAAAUGUGGUGGAUAGCCAAACAAGAGAAUGUGAAUCCUCAUGGGGCAAGGAACAAAUAUCUCCCCAGCCUAAGCAGACAGAAGACAAAAACUGAGGAGAAUCUCCAAGGGUCUGUCCUUAAAUGUCCCCUUUGAAUAGAGCCAAGCUCCCUGGAAACAGCUCGAAAGAAUGUAAAAAAUUAUAAAUAUGGUAAAGACAGGACAUACAGGUAUGGGCUAAAUCCUAAGCCUGACUUUGGUGAUGUAAGGAUGUCCAGUGCUGCCCUUUUGAUAGCAGGCAGAGGUGCACAUCAACCUUGUUUAGGUUCCCAUGCACACUGUAAGCAAAAGCAGGUCUCUUGUUUACUUGAGCAUUAUGUUUGUUACCCCUUCCCAUAAGAAUGGGAAUAAGAAUUGAUGUCUCCCAGCUUGGGAAAAUGCUCCUCUCCUUUGUACAAGUCUUGAUACCUUUACACCUUCAAGGGCUCUGGCCAGUGUGCUCUCCUCAUCUUCUGUGUGCACAGAGCCCCUUCAGGAGGACAGCUGUGCUUGAAGUAACCACGCUCUGGAAGCACAGCCCCUCCUCUCACUGCACUGCACUGCCCUGGGAGGGGAGAUGGGCCCAUUGCAGACCCUGGAUUCUCCUUUUAAUUCCUCCAGUCUGAGCAGGGAAAGGGAGAUGGACUUCUAUGGAGAUCUUCCUUAUUGCCAAAAAUGAUCUGACAGAGUGUGUGUAUAUUAAUGUCGCUGCCCCCUCGGCCCUUCACGCCUUGGCUAUCACAGCUUGUGCCAAACGUCAGCGGCAGGAGUGGGGAACCAGGUGAGCACUGUGUGGCUCGACCUGGAACCUCUAGAGCUCCUCCGGGC
Long non-coding RNA from Parus major (Great Tit), 2175 nucleotides. RefSeq lists it as uncharacterized. The transcript has 3 exons. The record is from RefSeq and is a predicted model, not a curated record. Lineage: Eukaryota; Metazoa; Chordata; Aves; Passeriformes; Paridae.